AUUGAACGCUGGCGGCAGGCCUAACACAUGCAAGUCGAGCGAUCGGCGGACGGGUGAGUCAUGUCUGGGAAACUGCCUGAUGGAGGGGGAUAACUACUGGAAACGGCAGCUAAUACUGCAUACCAUCCGCUCUGCCCAGAUGGGAUUAGCUAGUAGGUGGGGUAACGGCUCACCUAGGCGACCAACCCUACCUGGUCUGAGCGGAUGACCAGCCACACUGGAACUGAGACACGGUCCAGCCUCCUACGGGAGGCAGCAGUGGGGAAUAUUGCACAAUGGGCGCAAGCCUGAUGCAGCCAUGCCGCGUGUGUGAAGAAGGCCUUCGGGUUAUAAAGCACUUUCAGCGGGGAGGCGUUACCCGCAGAAGAAGCACCGGCUAACUCCGUGCCAGCCACCGCGGUAAUAC
Molecule: ribosomal RNA, 406 nt
Filed under: uncultured bacterium
Lineage: Bacteria
Description: partial 16S ribosomal RNA
Rfam family: Bacterial small subunit ribosomal RNA
Source: RNAcentral